GGGAAGGAGGACACACGCAAAAAAUCCCUGGAUCUCCUCUCAAGAAAAAGGGCACAACCUUUCCUAUCGACUAAGCUCAUCUUCUCCAAACCAUUAACGAUGAUGCUAGCCCGCUCUCUCUCUAUAUCUUGUUCGUCUUGACACACACACACGAAAGGGAAAAGAAAACAUACUUGAAUUCUGAACUUUCAGAUCUAGAAAAAUCGAAAAAAGAGGAUUUAAAGCUAGUUUUGAGUUUCAUACAAUUGUUGCAUAUAUCUGGGCCUUUGCAAGCUAUUUUUAGUUGAAUAAGCUGAUCUAUUUCUGUUGUUCUUCCUUUUAUUGUUGAUUGCUGUUAUUCUUUGGUUUCCGCCGAAUUCAUGGCCUAUCUCCAGUUUUUUUUAUUCGUUUUGGUCCAGCAGUGAGGUAAACACAUAAAACUCUUGAUGUAUUUGAGUGUUCUUCAAUAAAAAUGAGUUGUCGAUCUAUUCGUAAUCCAUAUGAUGUUUGUUUUGCUCAGAUUUUUUUAUUAAAGUUGUCUCUUCAGUGUUGAAUCUGAUUAUGACUUGGAGCUACAACUCACAUAUGUUAAUUUGAGCUUUUAAAAUUCAUUGUGUGUUUUUUGAUUAGCAGUGGAAAUACUUACUUUACGAUUAAAUUCGAAAUGCUGCUUUACGUUAUUCGGCUUAUGUGAUAAUCUGCUUGAUUUGGUUUAAUUCAGUUUAUAUUCUGUCAAAGUUUGCUAAUUAGAAAUUAUGUCGAUUUUUGAAGUUACCGGAAAUGAUAGUUGAUGUGAAAAGCUUCUACACUAGCGUGCUUCAGUUCUUAAUUUCUAAUCCAUUAUGUGAUUCAUGUUAUGGAUGGUUGCAACAUCUCCACCAUAGUAGUCUUAUUAAUUAAAUUAUAGACAUAGAAACUCUAGAAUUUGAGUAGAACCAUAUUGUUGUGCGCAUUAAACACCAGGUAUUAACAGGAUAAGGGUGAUGCUAACAAAUCUGAUGUUCUUUUGGAUAAAAAUGGAAGAGGAAACCAGAAAAUUCAAUUGUAAAAUUUGAUUAAUGUGUAGUUUGAUUAUGUCGAUGCAAAGGAAAGGGUUCUUUGCAUAACAUCUGGACAGAUAAAGGCAUACUCUUCUAGUUCUAUGCUCUAUGUGAGUGUUAACAAGAUUAUCUGCCCGUAUGUGUGUGCACGUUUGUAAGACUCUCAGGUUGUGUUAGUCAGAGUGUGAUACAUAGAAUUUGUUGUUAUUUUUCUGAAGCUCU
This 1241-nucleotide long non-coding RNA is filed under the name Nicotiana benthamiana. Its description in RNAcentral is "long non-coding RNA (NBEN_LNC008635)". Lineage: Eukaryota; Viridiplantae; Streptophyta; Magnoliopsida; Solanales; Solanaceae. The record is from RNAcentral.